Molecule: ribosomal RNA, 1318 nt
Filed under: Crystallibacter crystallopoietes
Lineage: Bacteria; Bacillati; Actinomycetota; Actinomycetes; Micrococcales; Micrococcaceae
Description: bacterial SSU rRNA
Rfam family: Bacterial small subunit ribosomal RNA
Source: RNAcentral
UAGUGGCGAACGGGUGAGUAACACGUGAGUAACCUGCCCUUGACUCUGGGAUAAGCCUGGGAAACCGGGUCUAAUACCGGAUAUGACCUGUCACCGCAUGGUGGUGGGUGGAAAGAUUUUUUGGUCUUGGAUGGACUCGCGGCCUAUCAGCUUGUUGGUGGGGUAAUGGCCUACCAAGGGCAGACGACGGGUUAGCCGGCCUGGAGAGGGUGACCGGCCACACGUGGGACUUGAGACACGGCCCAGACUCCUACGGGAGGCAGCAGUUGGGGAAUUAUUGCACAAUGGGCGCAAGCCUGAUGCAGCGACGCCGCGUGGAGGGAUGAAUGCCUUCGGGUUGUAAACCUCUUUCAGCAGGGAAGAAGCGAAAGUGACGGUACCUGCAGAAGAAGCGCCGGCUAACUACGUGCCAGCAGCCGCGGUAAUACGUAGGGCGCAAGCGUUGUCCGGAAUUAUUGGGCGUAAAGAGCUCGUAGGCGGUUUGUCGCGUCUGCUGUGAAAGCCCGGGGCUCAACCCCGGGUCUGCAGUGGGUACGGGCAGACUAGAGUGCAGUAGGGGAGACUGGAAUUCCUGGUGUAGCGGUGAAAUGCGCAGAUAUCAGGAGGAACACCGAUGGCGAAGGCAGGUCUCUGGGCUGUAACUGACGCUGAGGAGCGAAAGCAUGGGGAGCGAACAGGAUUAGAUACCCUGGUAGUCCAUGCCGUAAACGUUGGGCACUAGGUGUGGGGGACAUUCCACGUUUUCCGCGCCGUAGCUAACGCAUUAAGUGCCCCGCCUGGGGAGUACGGCCGCAAGGCUAAAACUCAAAGGAAUUGACGGGGGCCCGCACAAGCGGCGGAGCAUGCGGAUUAAUUCGAUGCAACGCGAAGAACCUUACCAAGGCUUGACAUGGGCCGGACCGGGCUGGAAACAGUCCUUCCCUUCGGGGCCGGUUCACAGGUGGUGCAUGGUUGUCGUCAGCUCGUGUCGUGAGAUGUUGGGUUAAGUCCCGCAACGAGCGCAACCCUCGUUCCAUGUUGCCAGCGCGUAAUGGCGGGGACUCAUGGGAGACUGCCGGGGUCAACUCGGAGGAAGGUGGGGACGACGUCAAAUCAUCAUGCCCCUUAUGUCUUGGGCUUCACGCAUGCCUACAAUGGCCGGUACAAUGGGUUGCGAUACUGUGAGGUGGAGCUAAUCCCAAAAAGCCGGUCUCAGUUCGGAUUGGGGUCUGCAACUCGACCCCAUGAAGUCGGAGUCGCUAGUAAUCGCAGAUCAGCAACGCUGCGGUGAAUACGUUCCCGGGCCUUGUACACACCGCCCGUCAAGUCACGAAAGUUG